AAUGAAGUGCCUGAUAAAAGGAUUAUUUUGAUAGAAUAAAUUAUGUAUAAAAAUACCUUCAUUA
This 64-nucleotide transfer RNA is filed under the name Zophobas atratus (kingworm beetle). Its description in RNAcentral is "tRNA-Ile". Lineage: Eukaryota; Metazoa; Arthropoda; Insecta; Coleoptera; Tenebrionidae. The record is from RNAcentral.